RNAcentral lists this ribosomal RNA (504 nucleotides) under uncultured bacterium. RNAcentral describes it as "partial 16S ribosomal RNA". It matches the Rfam family "Bacterial small subunit ribosomal RNA", at positions 29 to 507 of the family's 1533-position model. The record is from RNAcentral.
ACGAACGCUGGCGGCGUGCCUAAUACGUGCAAGUAGAACGCACAGUUUAUACCGUAGCUUGCUACACCAUAGACUGUGAGUUGCGAACGGGUGAGUAACGCGUAGGUAACCUGCCUGGUAGCGGGGGAUAACUAUUGGAAACGAUAGCUAAUACCGCAUAAUAUUAAUUAUUGCAUGAUAAUUAAUUGAAAGGUGCAAUUGCACCACUACCAGAUGGACCUGCGUUGUAUUAGCUAGUAGGUGAGGUAACGGCUCACCUAGGCGACGAUACAUAGCCGACCUGAGAGGGUGAUCGGCCACACUGGGACUGAGACACGGCCCAGACUCCUGCGGGAGGCAGCAGUAGGGAAUCUUCGGCAAUGGACGAAAGUCUGACCGAGCAACGCCGCGUGAGUGAAGAAGGUUUUCGGAUCGUAAAGCUCUGUUGUAAGAGAAGAACGGGUGUGAGAGUGGAAAGUUCACACUGUGACGGUAUCUUACCAGAAAGGGACGGCUAACUACGUG